This 433-nucleotide ribosomal RNA is filed under the name uncultured bacterium. RNAcentral describes it as "partial 16S ribosomal RNA". It matches the Rfam family "Bacterial small subunit ribosomal RNA", at positions 29 to 507 of the family's 1533-position model. The record is from RNAcentral.
AACGAACGCUGGCGGCAUGCCUAACACAUGCAAGUCGAACGAGACCGUCGGGUCUAGUGGCGCACGGGUGCGUGACGCGGGGGAACCUGCCCGUAGGUUCGGAAUAACUCCCCGAAGGGGGAGCUAAUACCGGUGAAGGUCAUCGGACCAAAGAGUUAUCGCCUUUGGGUGGGGCCGGGUUGGAUUAGCUAGUUGGUAGGGUAAAAGCCUACCAAGGCGACGUUCCAUAGCUGGUCGGGUAGCAUGAUCCGCAACACUUGGACUGCGACACGGCCCAGGCCGCGACGGAGCGGUGCAGUAGAGAGUAUUAGACGAUGGACCCAAGCCCGAUCCCGCCACGCCGCGUAUGUCAUCAAGGCCUUUGGAUUGCACAGCCGUUUUUCCCGAGAUGAUAGUGACGGUACCGGGUAAAUAAGCUCCGGCUAACUCCGUG